AGGGUGCAGGGCGGAUGCCUUGGCACUAGGAGCCGAUGAAGGACGUGAUAAGCUGCGAUAAGCUUCGGGGAGUUGCACGUAAACUUUGAUCCGAAGAUUUCCGAAUGAGGAAACUCACUUAGAGUAAUGUCUAAGUAUCAUUAAGUGAAUACAUAGCUUAAUGAGGGGAACUCAGGGAACUGAAACAUCUAAGUACCUGAAGGAAGAGAAAGAAAUUCGAUUCCGUAAGUAGCGGCGAGCGAACGCGGAUUAGCCCAAACCAAUAAAGUUUUCUUUAUUGGGGUUGCGGACAUAUCAUAACGAAGAGGUAUCGUAAUUGAAGAGGUUUGGAAAGACCCACCACAGAAGGUAAUAGUCCUGUAUGUUAAACGAGAAGACUUCAGAUAUGAUCCAGAGUACCACGGGACACGUGAAACCCUGUGGGAAGCAGGAGGGACCACCCUCCAAGGCUAAAUACUACCUAGUGACCGAUAGCGUAUAGUACCGUGAGGGAAAGGUGAAAAGAACCCCGGGAGGGGAGUGAAAUAGAACCUGAAACCCUGCACUUACAAGCUGUGGAAGCACAUUUCUUGUGUGACCGCGUACUUUUUGUAGAACGGGCCAACGAGUUACGUUAAGUAGCAAGGUUAAGCACUUAAGGUGCGGAGCCGUAGCGAAAGCGAGUUUUAACUGAGCGUUCAGUUACUUGACGUAGACCCGAAACCGGGCGACCUACCCAUGAGCAGGAUGAAGCGAAAGUAAAAUUUCGUGGAGGUCCGAACCCACGAGCGUUGAAAAGCUCGGGGAUGACUUGUGGAUAGCGGUGAAAUUCCAAUCGAGCCCGGAGAUAGCUGGUUCUCCCCGAAAUAGCUUUAGGGCUAGCCUCAAGGUGAGAGAUACGGAGGUAGAGCACUGAAUGUCCUAGGGGGUAUUGCACCUACCGAAGACUAUCAAACUCCGAAUGCCGUCAUCUUAUACUUGGGAGUCAGACUGUGGGUGAUAAGAUUCAUAGUCGAAAGGGCAACAGCCCAGAUCGUCAGCUAAGGUCCCUAAAUGUAAGUUAAGUGGUAAAGGAUGUGGGAUUGCACAGACAACCAGGAUGUUGGCUUAGAAGCAGCCACUCAUUCAAAGAGUGCGUAAUAGCUCACUGGUCGAGUGAUCCUGCGCCGAAGAUUUCCGGGGCUAAAACUUACUACCGAAGCUACGGCAUCAGUAAUGAUGGGUAGGGGAGCUUCCCAUACGGGUUGAAGCNUGACCGUAAGGACAUGUGGACAGUAUGGGAGUGAGAAUGUUGGCAUGAGUAGCGAGAUGUGGGUGAGAAUCCCACAGGCCGUAAACCCAAGGUUUCCAGGGGAAGGUUCGUCCGCCCUGGGUUAGUCGGGACCUAAGCUGAGGCCGAAAGGCGUAGGUGAUGGACAACAGGUUGAUAUUCCUGUACUACCGAUAACCGUUUGAGAGAAGGGAUGACACAGUAGGAUAAGCUAAGCACACUGUUGGUUAUGUGUGCCCAAGCAUUGAGGCAGUCAAAGUAGGCAAAUCCGCUUUGAUAAUGCUGGGAUGUGAUGGGGAGCGAAAUUUAGUAGCGAAGUAGCUGAUUUCACACUGUCAAGAAAAGUCUCUAUCGAGGUUAAAGGUACCCGUACCGCAAACCGACACAGGUGGGUGAGGAGAGUAUCCUAAGGCCAGCGAGAGAACUGUUGUUAAGGAACUCGGCAAAAUGACCCCGUAACUUAGGGAUAAGGGGUGCCACCAUCAGGUGGCCGCAGAGAAUAGGCCCAAGCGACUGUUUACCAAAAACAUAGGUUUCUGCUAAGUCGCAAGACGAUGUAUAGGAGCUGACGCCUGCCCGGUGCUGGAAGGUUAAGGGGAUCUGUUAGAGCAAUCGAAGCAGUGAACUUAAGCCCCAGUAAACGGCGGCCGUAACUAUAACGGUCCUAAGGUAGCGAAAUUCCUUGUCGGGUAAGUUCCGACCCGCACGAAAGGCGUAACGAUUUGGGCACUGUCUCAACAACAGACUCGGUGAAAUUGUAAUUCCGGUGAAGAUGCCGGAUACCUGCGACAGGACGGAAAGACCCCAUGGAGCUUUACUGUAGCUUGACAUUGGGUCUUGGUACUACAUGUACAGGAUAGGUGGGAGGCUUUGAAACCAGGACGCCAGUUUUGGCGGAGCCAUCCUUGGGAUACCACCCUUGUAGUACUGGGACUCUAACCAUAGGCCAUGAAUCUGGUCUUGGGACACUGUCAGGUGGGCAGUUUGACUGGGGCGGUCGCCUCCCAAAAGGUAACGGAGGCGCUCAAAGGUUCUCUCAGUACGGUCGGAAAUCGUACGUAGAGUGUAAAGGCAAAAGAGAGCUUGAUUGCAAGACAUACAGGUCGAGCAAGGAUGAAAAUCGGACUUAGUGAUCCGGUGGUUCUGCGUGGAAGGGCCAUCGCUCAACGGAUAAAAGCUACCCUGGGGAUAACAGGCUUAUCUCCCCCAAGAGUCCACAUCGACGGGGAGGUUUGGCACCUCGAUGUCGGCUCAUCACAUCCUGGGGCUGUAGUAGGUCCCAAGGGUUGGGCUGUUCGCCCAUUAAAGUGGUACGCGAGCUGGGUUCAGAACGUCGUGAGACAGUUCGGUCCCUAUCCGUCGCAGGCGUAGGAAAUUUGAGAAGACCUGUCCUUAGUACGAGAGGACCGGGAUGGACGUACCUCUGGUGUACCAGUUGUUCUGCCAAGGGCAUGGCUGGGUAGCUAUGUACGGAAUGGAUAAGCGCUGAAAGCAUCUAAGCGCGAAGCCAACUUCAAGAUAAGAUUUCCCACCGCAAGGGUAAGACCCCAGAAAGACUAUCUGGUUGAUAGGUCGAAGGUGUAAGUGCAGCAAUGUAUUUAGCUUAUCGAUACUAAUAGGUCGAGGACUUGACC
RNAcentral lists this ribosomal RNA (2883 nucleotides) under Clostridioides difficile. RNAcentral describes it as "bacterial LSU rRNA". It matches the Rfam family "Bacterial large subunit ribosomal RNA". The record is from RNAcentral. Lineage: Bacteria; Bacillati; Bacillota; Clostridia; Peptostreptococcales; Peptostreptococcaceae.